UUCGAGUGUCCCAAGGACCCCGAAUAAACCACUUACAACCAAGAUCGCAAGAUUAAGUAACACAAAUCACACACACCAACAGUUUGCAGCGGAAAUCUUAUUACCAAAUUUUACAAGUUACAAAAAUUUUACUUUGUACAUGAUCGGAGUGAUUACAAAAGUGAUUCAAAGAAAUAACUUUGAACUGUUAUAAAUUAUUUCUAUUUUUGAAAUAUAUGCUAGCUCAAGUGACCAUCCUCAAUAAGAAGUAUAGAAGAGUUACUUAGACUUAUAAGAACGCCGAGCCCACCGGCACUUAACACCAUCAACAGCAGCACAAAGUUAAAACCUGAAAAACAACAGGGAAUAAAACCCUGAGUAUGGAAUUACUCAGCAAGACUUACCCGACUAAAGAAAAGAGUCUCAAGGGUAUGCUAGAUUUAGGAAUCAAGGAGAGGCUCUUAGCAAGAAUCAACUUAGAUACUUUUGCAGAAAUAGCUUACUAAAGUGAGUCCUUACUUUCAAUAUUUUAAUGCCAGAUUAAAUAUUAAUAGACUCUGUUUGCAUCUGGUUUAAUUUCUCCAUCUCAUCAAUAUAACAUCAUUUUUAUUCAUGAGGUUCACAUCCUGACUUAGGUUGCAGGUCAGUGACCAAGUCUUCAUGUCCGCGAAGUUACGGCGAUCUAAAUCGAUUAUACUCAGCUGAGGAUCUCCAAUCACACGACAUAUGUAGCACUUAACCCUUGCAUAUGUCAACUCGCCACCGGGGUUCUUAAGACCAGAUCAGGUUCACGCCAACCGAGAGCACAGGUACACCACCGUCCAGCCUCUUGCCACGGAGGGUACACGCUACUCUCGCCAUCUCUCCACUCCCAUUGCGUGUUAUCUUAUUCUGGUAUUAGUCUGCCCGAGGCAAAGCUUACCCAUGAUGAGGCAUGUGACCAGUUAAAGGGUCCUCGGUCAGCAGGCCUACAUACGCAUCCAAUCAUUAAUCAACCUGGGUAGAACAACACCUGUUCCUAGCCCAAGCCCCAAUUUAAGUACUUCCACCCUUAGGAUUGUUUGUAUUCCUUAGGAUGAAAAGAGCAUCAAAGGGAACUUUGCAGUAAGAUCCCACCACGCUCUCAAUGAAAAUAUUCUUGCAGGUAGAAGCCAUCUUUCCUCAGGAUAACCCCUGAGCUAGGCCUUAAUGCAAAAGACAACCUCUAUCCACAAGAUCUGAGCAGGGCUAAGCAUUUUUGUAAAUCAUAUUUUGAUACUUCAUCAGAAGUAUCUAUAAGGGUAUGGGUAUCAAGGUAGGCAAUGCAUCAAAAGGUUUCCAAGCAACUCCUAUAAACCUAAUGCACAUUUCGCUAGACUUAAAGUGUGAAAAGUAAUUUAAAAACACAAGGAAGGGGUUGCAUGCACCGGGGCUUGCCUGAAUAACACUAGGUUAGUGUUUGUUAGGCGAUGUCCGCUUGACGACCAUCCUUUGUCUUGGUACUCGCUGAAUUAUCCAUCUUCAAGUUCGUCCAUCAGCAUCACCUUGCGAAUCAGUCCCCCCGUUACGCCAUCUUGGGGUCGACUUGACUCAAGUUCUUCGUAUCUCGUGGUUAAUCAACGUACCUAAAUGAUUUGCAUAAUGCACAUGAAUGCAUAUAAACAAGAAUAUCACAAACCUAAAUAAGGCUACACGACGGUGAAUUAAACACCUAGCGGCGAGACGUUGUACUAUUUCCUAUGGAAAACACUAGUUAUCGACAUACGACUACGCUCGAUUAUCAUACUUUUCUAGUGUAAUCGUAUCUACUUCAAAUAUCAAAGUGAUAAUAAACUAAACACAAGUCCUAUAUCAAAACACCCAUCGAGUCACUAUUCACACCCUUACUAAUUGACGAUCAUUAUACAAUGUGAUUAAUUCAUUAUACAAUGUGAUUAAUUCACUAUUGAACACAAGCACAUCACAAGCAUCAGAUCAAUCCGAUUAGACUAGACAUAUGUUUCCAUUUUGUAAAUUAAGACGCAUAAAAUACAGGUCGAUGGUGCUAAUCACAAUCGGCCAUAACCAUACUUAAAAUUAACUUAACUAGUUUUCUAAGCCAUUUCAUCGGAUUAACUCGUACAGUCUACGAGUUAAAUACGAUAUUUAAUCGUUCGCCCUAGCAAGUGUGCCUUACACCUAUAUUUUACCAUACCUCGCGACUAUUUCAUAAUUACAAACAUCACAACAUACGUAUGCUAAAUUAAUAAAAAUGGUCGCGUAACAGCACACCGACAUAACAACCGAGCUGGCCAUAAUCACUAAGUGUGCCUAUGCUAAAUAAAAAGGAUCGUCGCAACCCCAUAUCUAUUAAUCCAUCCACUAAAAUAAAAUAAUAGAGGUAGCGAAUCAGAGUAUGAUUACCAUAUUGACCAUAACUUCGCGCAGACAACAACGAUUCUUGCGUAGACCUUUUUUUCCGAGCACCCGACAAGCACCACACGGGAUUUAUUGCUUUAUCCGAAUUAUCGGGAUCGUUCGACGACGCAAGGGAUAUCGACGAGUUGGAGACUUGCAGGGUCGAGCACGACAAGUAGUUCCGAGGGUCGACAUAAGCAGCACAAAAUUGGAAAUCAAAUCAUCGGAGUCGACGAGCACGUCGUGGGCACAACGUGGGUCGACGACGAGGUCCAUGACGAGCGUCGCAAGGCACGACAAAUGGGAAGGAGGUGACGCACGAAUUUCAGAGCAUGGAACUCACGGCGGCUUGAGGGAGAUGGCCGUGGGAGGGACUUCGGCGAGCUGGAGCGGGAUACGGCCUGGGCGCGAUGAAGGGAGCUGCGCGUCCAGAGCGAGCAGGGAGAGCACC
RNAcentral lists this long non-coding RNA (2806 nucleotides) under Zea mays. Its description in RNAcentral is "long non-coding RNA (ZMAY_LNC001695)". Lineage: Eukaryota; Viridiplantae; Streptophyta; Magnoliopsida; Poales; Poaceae. The record is from RNAcentral.